Molecule: long non-coding RNA, 1121 nt
Filed under: Apteryx haastii (Great spotted kiwi)
Lineage: Eukaryota; Metazoa; Chordata; Aves; Apterygiformes; Apterygidae
Description: lncRNA (ENSAHAG00000002450.1)
Source: RNAcentral
AUGGAAGAGCAGCAGGGGUCAUUAGUCAGGGGUGGGGGACAAGCCCCAGCAGUCUUUGCUUGGCAUCUCAGAUUUGAGCCCCCCAGCAGGCAGCAAACCUCUGCUGACAAGAGGUCAGGUCAGCAGAUGGGUGCUUCUGUGCCCUGCAGCAGGGAGUGCUCAGCGCCGCGCUCGGCCGCCGCACAAACCAAAGCAAAGGAGGAGAGAAGUUGCCGUGAGGAAAUSCCCACAGCUCCCUCUGCCCCAAUGCCCAGAGACAGCUCAGCGCCCCCCACACUACCGCAGGCCGAUGACGGUGCUGGGCCCCCCGCCAGCACGCCGGCUGCCCAGCAGGACACCAAGCCUGCAGCCAGGGCAGCCUCCCUCAACGCCGACCAGAACACGGAACACAGAAUAUGGAACUCGCUGCCACCCCGCGCAACGCUGACAAUGGCCUCAGCAACAGGCACCAUCUCCCCAGCAAGAGGGACAAGCACCCCAGCCCCAGACGCACCCACCCCACCACUGGCACGCCAACAAGCAUGGCACAAGGGCUGCGCACAGGCACAAGGCCCCGCUCACAAACCCGGACACUGCUCCCGCCUCACCACACCUCUAUAGUCCUCUCCAGCACUUGAGAUUUGCUCUUGCAGAGAAGUUGUCUUCAGCCCCUCCUCUUUUCUUGCGUGCCUAGUCCAGAAAACAAUAGCUGGCUUUUGGCACUUACUCUUUUUUACAAGCUGACACCUUGCCUCCUCAGACAUUGGCACAAAAAUCACCCUSCCCCUGACAAGGUUCACACACCAUCAAGGAAGCAGCCACAACUUCUCUUGGGCCCCUCCGGCUUUCUUGCAUGCCUACUCCAGUYAAACAAGAACUGUAACGCUGAGGUUCAGUGUUUUGCAAUGAUGUUCGUCCUUCAAGUUAGGAACAUCUUGGAAAUACACUAUGGGGCUGGGAGCGCCCACUGCUGAGCAGAGCGCCAGCAAGAGCUGUCCCUCCAGUGCUCGUCUCCCCAGUGGCUCCCCGUCCAGACACCCUUUCUCAGCAGCGGUGGGGAGCGGGUGCGGAGCGGCCCGCGAGCCCCGUGAGCCUUGACACACCUCCUUGCCGUGGUCACAUGAAGGUUGGCAGCGUGGUGA